CAUGUCUUUAAGAUUAUAAUUUAAAGUNUAAUYUGCUCCAUGAUUUAUUAAUUAAAUAGCUGCAGAAUUUUAACUGUACAAAGGUAGCAUAAUCAAUAGUUUUUUAAUUGAAAGCUGGAAUGAAAGAUUUGAUAAGGUAAAUAUUGUCUCAAAUUUAAAAAUAGUUAUAAUUUUUUUUUUAGUAAAAAUACUAAAUUGAAUUUAAAAGACGAGAAGACCCUAUAGAUUUUUAUAUUUUAUAUUAAAUAAUUUUAAAUUUUUAAAUAAGAUUUAAUAAAAAAAUAUUAGGUUGGGGAAAUUAAUAAAUUAAAUAAAUUUUAGUAUAUUUUUAACAAAAAUUAUUGAUUUUAUGAAUUUAAUAAUUUAAAUUGAAAGAAUAAAUUACCUUAGGGAUAACAGCGUAAUUUUUUUGGAGAGAUCUUAUUAAUAAAAAAGUUUGCGACCUCGAUGUUGAAUUAAGAUAAAAUUUUAAUGUAGA
RNAcentral lists this ribosomal RNA (478 nucleotides) under Distictus tibialis. Its description in RNAcentral is "partial 16S large subunit ribosomal RNA". The record is from RNAcentral. Lineage: Eukaryota; Metazoa; Arthropoda; Insecta; Hymenoptera; Ichneumonidae.